Molecule: ribosomal RNA, 817 nt
Filed under: uncultured bacterium
Lineage: Bacteria
Description: bacterial SSU rRNA
Rfam family: Bacterial small subunit ribosomal RNA
Source: RNAcentral
AGAGUUUGAUCCUGGCUCAGGAUGAAUUCUGGCGGCGUGCUUAACACAUGCAAGUCGAACGAUGACUUUUGUGCUUGCACAAAAUGAUUAGUGGCGAACGGGUGAGUAACACGUGAGUAACCUGCCCUUAACUUCGGGAUAAGCCUGGGAAACCGGGCCUAAUACCGGAUACGACGGAUUCCCGCAUGGGGGUCCGUGGAAAGCUUGAUGCGGUUUUGGAUGGACUCGCGGCCUAUCAGCUAGUUGGUUGGGGUAAUGGCCCACCAAGGCGACGACGGGUAGCCGGCCUGAGAGGGUGACCGGCCACACUGGGACUGAGACACGGCCCAGACUCCUACGGGAGGCAGCAGUGGGGAAUAUUGCACAAUGGGCGAAAGCCUGAUGCAGCGACGCCGCGUGAGGGACGAAGGCCUUCGGGUUGUAAACCUCUUUCAGCAGGGAAGAAGCGAAAGUGACGGUACCUGCAGAAGAAGCGCCGGCUAACUACGUGCCAGCAGCCGCGGUAAUACGUAGGGCGCAAGCGUUAUCCGGAAUUAUUGGGCGUAAAGAGCUCGUAGGCGGUUUGUCGCGUCUGCUGUGAAAGCCCGGGGCUCAACCCCGGGUCUGCAGUGGGUACGGGCAGACUAGAGUGCAGUAGGGGAGACUGGAAUUCCUGGUGUAGCGGUGAAAUGCGCAGAUAUCAGGAGGAACACCGAUGGCGAAGGCAGGUCUCUGGGCUGUAACUGACGCUGAGGAGCGAAAGCAUGGGGAGCGAACAGGAUUAGAUACCCUGGUAGUCCAUGCCGUAAACGUUGGGCACUAGGUGGGGGGGACAUUC